CCCUUAGAUGUUCUGGGCUGCACGCGCGCUACACUGAUGCGCUCAACGAGUUUUAACCUUGCCUGGAAAGGUUGGGUAAUCUUUUUAAAACGCAUCGUGAUGGGGAUAGAUUAUUGCAAUUAUUAAUCUUCAACGAGGAAUUCCUAGUAAGCGCGAGUCAUCAGCUCGUGCUGAAUACGUCCCUGCCCUUUGUACACACCGCCCGUCGCUCCUACCGAUUGAGUGGUCCGGUGAGGCUUUGGGAUCUGAGCGGAAAGAGCGUUUCGCUGUUUCUGCUCGGAAAACUCAGUCGAACCUUAUCAUUUAGAGGAAGGAGAAGUCGUAACA
This 327-nucleotide ribosomal RNA is filed under the name uncultured eukaryote. RNAcentral describes it as "partial 18S ribosomal RNA". It matches the Rfam family "Eukaryotic small subunit ribosomal RNA", at positions 1470 to 1796 of the family's 1831-position model. The record is from RNAcentral.